AAUAUUGAACAUGAACUUCAGAUAUGGAGUAUUGGUUCUCCUGAUCCUAACUUCACAUUAGAUGGCCACUCAAAAGGCGUGAACCGUGUUGAUUACUUCACCGGUGGUGAUCGACCAUUUUUUAUUACUAGAUCUGAUGAUCAGACUGCAAAGGUUUGAGAUUACCAAACCAAGAGAUGUGUUCAAACACUUGAAGGACAUGCACACAAUGUGUCUGCUGUCUGUUUCCAUCUAGAACUACCUAUUAUAAUUACUGGCUCAGAGGAUGGCACAGUUCACUUGUGGCACUCUACAACCUACAGGCUUGAGAACACUCUUCAUUAUGGUCUUGAGCGAGUUUGGGCUUUAGGAUACAUGAAGGGGUCAAGAAGGAUUGUGAUUGGAUAUGAUUUAGGGAAAAUUAUGAUAAAAAUUGGCCGUGAAGUUCCAGUUGCUAGCAUGGACAACAGUGAAAAAAUCCUAUGGGCAAAACAUAACGAAAUCCAAACUGUUAGUAUCAAGACUGUUGGUGCAGGCAAUGAGGUUCUUCUUCUUUGCCAUGUUAAAUGUGCAGGAUUGUGA
This 561-nucleotide ribosomal RNA is filed under the name Triticum aestivum (bread wheat). RNAcentral describes it as "partial small subunit ribosomal RNA". The record is from RNAcentral. Lineage: Eukaryota; Viridiplantae; Streptophyta; Magnoliopsida; Poales; Poaceae.